AUUUUGCAAUACAGAUUUAAUAACAAAGCAGAUCAAACGAAGCUGAGAAACUAUGCACAGAUGUGCCUCAAAUCCUAUGUAAACACUUUUCUUAGAGUUGUAAGGCACUUAAAUGACUUUUUAUGUAACCUCCUCUAGCAAUCUUAAUAUCAGGGUUUUCGUCCACAGAACAGCGUCCUUUGCGAAGGGGCAAAGCGUCCUCAUCUAGCCUUGCUCCUGACUGGCAGCAGCUUGCCUGGCACCCACCCCUGCCUAGGUGCGCGUUUGAUAAAUGUCUUGCCGGCGGCGACGUUCAGUUGCCAUUCUCCACCACGCCGUGCACCUGCUCAGCAUCUCGCAGUCUCCACGGCCAGUCCCCGAGCCCAGGACCCCUCCCUCGCCGCACGGCCCCCUCCGUUCAUCCCGCCCGGGCCCUGGCGGAAACUGCCCGACCCCAGGCGGGAGCGGCGGGGCGGGCGGGGAAAGUGCUCGUAAUCACAUGGAGGCCCGGGCCCGCCCCAUUGGCUGCGGCCGGGCCAGUCGCAGCGCUCGCAGGCUGCGGUUGGUCCCGGAGCUGCAGCGCCUGCUCGGGCCCGGAGUCCAUGUUACGCUUUGUCUAAUUCCCCUCGUUACAGAGUCAUGUGCUGCUGCUCCAGUCGCCGUCGCUGCCGCCGCCCGUGGUGCCCCGGCUCCUCCGCCGCGCUUCGAGGUGGCCGCCGCGGGCGGGGCCGCGGGAGCAGGGUCCAGGGCGCCGCGCACCCCCGCCGCCCCGGCGCGUCCCGGAGCAGCCGCCGCCUGCCGCAGGUGAUGCCUCCGCCUCCCGCCUCCGCCUAAGCCGUGGCUCGGCGGCCGAGCUGCCCCAAAGGAAGUGCACGGCCGGGGUCCCAGGAUGGAGGAGUGAAGUCUCGCGCCGCGGUCCCAGCCUCCGGAGCCCGCCCGAAGCCCAGUCCCCGAGAGCGCCCUGACGGAGCAGGGUGGCCGCCGGGUCCAGGCAUGCUACAUCAGCUGUUCAACAGACAUUUGCUGAUCUCCUUCCCUGUCUUCUUCCUACGUCCUUGCACUAGUCAUGGUACAGUAUUAAGUUCUGAGGAUACAAUAGCCAGCUUACCAUGGACUGAUACCUCUUCCACUAUGAGCCAAACAAACCAUUUCCUCCUUGAAGUUGUGUAUGUCAGGCACUUUUUCCCAGCAGUGGGAAAGCUGACUAAUAUGGUUUACUCGUCAAGCCAUUGGUUGUCUACUCCUCAUUUUAAGAACAAGAAUAACAACCCUAAAGCCCCAGAGGUGUGGUUGGCAUUAAAAGG
Molecule: long non-coding RNA, 1283 nt
Filed under: Heterocephalus glaber (naked mole-rat)
Lineage: Eukaryota; Metazoa; Chordata; Mammalia; Rodentia; Bathyergidae
Description: lncRNA (ENSHGLG00000033677.1)
Source: RNAcentral